RNAcentral lists this ribosomal RNA (274 nucleotides) under uncultured bacterium. RNAcentral's name for it is "partial 16S ribosomal RNA". It matches the Rfam family "Bacterial small subunit ribosomal RNA", at positions 523 to 796 of the family's 1533-position model. The record is from RNAcentral.
AUACGGAGGGGGCUAGCGUUGUUCGGAAUUACUGGGCGUAAAGGACGCGUAGGCGGGUUGGCAAGUCAGAUGUGAAAUCCUACAGCUUAACUGUAGAACUGCAUUUGAAACUGCUAACCUAGAGUAUGGGAGGGGGAGAUGGAAUUAGUGGUGUAGGGGUAAAAUCCGUAGAUAUCACUAGGAAUACCGAAAGCGAAGGCGAUCUCCUGGAACAUAACUGACGCUAAGGCGUGAAAGCGUGGGGAGCAAACAGGAUUAGAAACCCUAGUAGUCC